RNAcentral lists this non-coding RNA (27 nucleotides) under Bombyx mori (domestic silkworm). Lineage: Eukaryota; Metazoa; Arthropoda; Insecta; Lepidoptera; Bombycidae. The record is from RNAcentral.
UGAUUUCAAAUUGUAUAUUUUGUAAUU